CAGCCGCCGCGGUAAUACGAAGGGGGCUAGCGUUGUUCGGAAUUACUGGGCGUAAAGGGCGCGUAGGCGGCCAUUCAAGUUAGAUGUGAAAGCCCUGGGCUUAACCCAGGAGGUGCGUUUCAUACUGGAAGACUUGAGUACGAGAGAGGAAAGUGGAAUUCCUAGUGUAGAGGUGAAAUUCGUAGAUAUUAGGAAGAACACCAGUGGCGAAGGCGACUUUCUGGCUCGUAACUGACGCUGAGGCGCGAAAGCGUGGGGAGCAAACAGGAUUAGAUACCCCUGUAGUCCCUGUCUCUUAUAC
This 301-nucleotide ribosomal RNA is filed under the name uncultured bacterium. RNAcentral's name for it is "partial 16S ribosomal RNA". It matches the Rfam family "Bacterial small subunit ribosomal RNA", at positions 509 to 807 of the family's 1533-position model. The record is from RNAcentral.